This 497-nucleotide ribosomal RNA is filed under the name uncultured bacterium. RNAcentral describes it as "partial 16S ribosomal RNA". It matches the Rfam family "Bacterial small subunit ribosomal RNA", at positions 28 to 507 of the family's 1533-position model. The record is from RNAcentral.
GAUGAACGCUGGCGGCGUGCCUAAUACAUGCAAGUCGAGCGAACGGACGAGAAGCUUGCUUCUCUGAUGUUAGCGGCGGACGGGCGAGUAACACGUGGAUAACCUACCUAUAAGACUGGGAUAACUUCGGGAAACCGGAGCUACUACCGGCUAAUAUUUUGAACCGCAUGGUUCAAAAGUGAAAGACGGUCUUGCUGUCACUUAUAGAUGGAUCCGCGUUGCAUUAGCUAGUUGGUAAGGUAACGGCUUACCAAGGCAACGAUGCAUAGCCGACCUGAGAGGGUGAUCGGCCACACUGGAACUGAGACACGGUCCAGACUCCUACGGGAGGCAGCAGUAGGGAAUCUUCCGCAAUGGGCGAAAGCCUGACGGAGCAACGCCGCGUGAGUGAUGAAGGUCUUCGGAUCGUAAAACUCUGUUAUUAGGGAAGAACAUAUGUGUAAGUAACUGUGCACAUCUUGACGGUACCUAAUGAGAAAGCCACGGCUAACUACGUG